This 914-nucleotide ribosomal RNA is filed under the name uncultured marine archaeon. RNAcentral's name for it is "bacterial SSU rRNA". It matches the Rfam family "Archaeal small subunit ribosomal RNA", at positions 1 to 921 of the family's 1478-position model. The record is from RNAcentral.
UUCCGGUUGAUCCCGCCGGAGGCUACCGCUAUUGGAGUUCGAUUAAGCCAUGCGAGUCGCGAGUCUUAGGGACUCGGCGUACCGCUCAGUAACACGUGGGUAACCUGCCCUAUGCUGGGGGAUAACCUCGGGAAACUGAGAAUAAUACCCCAUAGUUCACCACGCCUGGAACGGUGGGUGGAUGAAAGCUCCGGCGGCAUAGGAUGGGCCUGCGGCGUAUCAGGUUGUAGGGGGUGUAAUGUACCCUCUAGCCAUCUACGCGUACGGGUGUUGGGAGACAUCGCCCGGAGAUGGAUUCUGAGACACGAAUCCAGACCCUACGGGGUGCAGCAGGCGCGAAAACUUGGCAAUGCGAGCAAUCGUGACCAGGGAACUCCAAGUGCAUCGGGUAAGACCGAUGCUUUUCUUGACUCUUCAAAGGUCUUGGAAUAAGGGGUGGGUAAGGACGGUGCCAGCCGCCGCGGUAAUACCGGCGCCUCAAGUGGUAGUCGCUUUUAUUGGGCCUAAAACGUCCGUAGCCGGUUUGGUACAUUCGUGGGUAAAUCAAGGCGCUCAACGUCUUGAAUUCUGCGAGCACGGCCAGACUUGGGACCGGGUGAGGUGUGGGGUACUCUCAGGGUAGGGGUAAAAUCCUGUCAUCCUGAGAGGACCACCUGUUGCGAAGGCGCCACACUAGAACGGAUCCGACGGUCAGGGACGAAGCCUAGGGGCACGAACCGGAUUAGAUACCCGGGUAGUCCUAGGUGUAAACGCUGUGGACUUGGUGUUGGGGAUUCUCCGAGGAUUCUCAGUGCCGAAGCGAAGGUGAUAAGUCCACUGCCUGGGGAGUACGGUCGCAAGGCUGAAACUUAAAGGAAUUGGCGGGGGAGCACCGCAACCUGAGGAUUGUGCGGUUUAAUUGGAUUCAACGCCGG